CCUACGGGUGGCAGCAGUAGGGAAUCUUCCACAAUGGGCGAAAGCCUGAUGGAGCAACGCCGCGUGAGUGAAGAAGGUCUUCGGAUCGUAAAACCCUGUUGUUAGAGAAGAAAGUUCGUGAGAGUAACUGUUCACGUUUCGACGGUAUCUAACCAGAAAGCCUCGGCUAACUACGUGCCAGCAGCAGCGGUAAUACGUAGGUGGCAAGUGUUAUCCGGUUUUAUUGGGCGUAAAGGGAACGCAGGCGGUCUUUUAAGUCUGAUGUGAAAGCCUUCGGCUUAACCGGAAUAGUGCAUUGGAAACUGGGAGACUUGAGUGCGGAAGGGGAGCGUGGAACUCCAUGUGUAGCGGUGAAAUGCGUAGAUAUAUGGAAGAACACCAGUGGCGAAAGC
RNAcentral lists this ribosomal RNA (392 nucleotides) under uncultured bacterium. RNAcentral describes it as "partial 16S ribosomal RNA". It matches the Rfam family "Bacterial small subunit ribosomal RNA", at positions 338 to 722 of the family's 1533-position model. The record is from RNAcentral.